AUACGGAGGAUCCGAGCGUUAUCCGGAUUUAUUGGGUUUAAAGGGUGCGCAGGCGGGAGAUUAAGUCGGCGGUGAAAUUUUGCAGCUCAACUGUAAAAGUGCCUUCGAAACUGGUUUCCUUGAGUGUAGAUGAAGUAGGCGGAAUUUGUGGUGUAGCGGUGAAAGGCAUAGAUAUCACGGGGAAAUCCGAUUGCGCAGGCAGCUUACUAAACUGCUACUGACGCGCAGGCACGAAGGCGUGGGGAUCAAGCAGGAUUAGAUACCCUGGUAGUCCACGCAGUAAACGAUGGCCACCCGCGGUUUGGCCUGUAUGGCUGAGCCGUCAAGCGAAAGCGUUAAGUGUCCAACCUGGGGAGUUCGCCGGCAACGGUGUAACUUAAAGGAAUUGACGGGG
RNAcentral lists this ribosomal RNA (394 nucleotides) under uncultured bacterium. RNAcentral's name for it is "partial 16S ribosomal RNA". It matches the Rfam family "Bacterial small subunit ribosomal RNA", at positions 523 to 918 of the family's 1533-position model. The record is from RNAcentral.